UGCGCAGGCGGUUUUGUAAGACAGGCGUGAAAUCCCUGAGCUUAACUUAGGAAUUGCAUUCGAUACUGGAAAGCUAGAGUAUGGGAGAGGAUGGUAGAAUUCCAGGUGUAGCGGUGAAAUGCGUAGAGAUCUGGAGGAAUACCGAUGGCGAAGGCAGCCAUCUGGCCUAAUACUGACGCUGAGGUACGAAAGCAUGGGGAGCAAACAGGAUUAGAUACCCUUGUA
Molecule: ribosomal RNA, 225 nt
Filed under: uncultured Acinetobacter sp.
Lineage: Bacteria; Pseudomonadati; Pseudomonadota; Gammaproteobacteria; Moraxellales; Moraxellaceae
Description: partial 16S ribosomal RNA
Rfam family: Bacterial small subunit ribosomal RNA
Source: RNAcentral